GCCAGUUAAGCGUUUGGAUCCACAAGUGAGGAGCCUUGAGGAACGAUUACAGUUGGAGAUACAGAUUUAGGAGUUUUAGGCAUACAGGUGGACCUAAAGCCAUGGGACUGCAUAAGGUCACCUAGGGAGAAUGUGUGGCUAGAGAAUGGUACAGGGCACAUCCCUAGAGAGUCCAAUGGAUUAUCAGAGAAGGAGAAACUAGCAGAGAAUAAAGAGAAGGAAAGACAUUGUUCUAAUCAUCAGUUAUCAUAUUGGACUGCAAUAUUCUCAGAAGCUACUGUAAUAUAAAAGGGAAUUUUCAUCCUUUGCAUCUCUGCCAACUUACUUGAGCCUGCUGCGCUUUUCCUGACUACACCUCCUCAUCCAAGCUCCCAGAGUAAUCAACCAUCAGUGAGUCGGAGCGGCUGAGGUGGUGAUGCUCUGUACAGGGAGUGCUUCAUGGACUCUUAGGGGCAAGGCUAGCUCCUGCCCGGGCUAACCAGCUGGACAGAUGUGGGUUUGGGAGAUUUGCCUCACUCUCCCAAUACAGCCAUCUGCCUCCACGGUCUGGGAACAUCGUCUGAAAUCUUCAAAGCACGAACUUUUCAUGGUAGUGGUCAUAUUGUUUUCUUAAUCUACCGCUGUCUGCCUGCCACCCUGCUUUACCGUAAGUGCCUG
Molecule: long non-coding RNA, 657 nt
Filed under: Equus caballus (horse)
Lineage: Eukaryota; Metazoa; Chordata; Mammalia; Perissodactyla; Equidae
Description: lncRNA (ENSECAG00000051645.1)
Source: RNAcentral